GAUGAACGCUGGCGGCGUGCCUAACACAUGCCAGUCGAACGGAGAUUACGGACGGAAGUUUUCGGAUGGAAGCCUGUAAUUCUUAGUGGCGGACGGGUGAGUAACGCGUGGGCAACCUGCCCUAUACAGGGGGAUAGCAGCUGGAAACGGCUGGUAAGACCGCAUAAGUCGGUUAAGUCGCAUGAUUUGAUCGGGAAAUGAGCAAUCAGGUAUAGGAUGGGCCCGCGUCCGAUUAGCCAGUUGGCAGGGUAAAAGCCUACCAAAGCGACGAUCGGUAGCCGGACUGAGAGGUCGGACGGCCACAUUGGGACUGAGACACGGCCCAAACUCCUACGGGAGGCAGCAGUGGGGGAUAUUGCACAAUGGAGGAAACUCUGAUGCAGCGACGCCGCGUGAGUGAAGAAGUAUUUCGGUAUGUAAAGCUCUAUCAGCAGGGAAGAUGAUGACGGUACCUGACUAAGAAGCCCCGGCUAACUACGUG
This 481-nucleotide ribosomal RNA is filed under the name uncultured bacterium. Its description in RNAcentral is "partial 16S ribosomal RNA". It matches the Rfam family "Bacterial small subunit ribosomal RNA", at positions 28 to 507 of the family's 1533-position model. The record is from RNAcentral.